Molecule: ribosomal RNA, 1313 nt
Filed under: Vibrio parahaemolyticus
Lineage: Bacteria; Pseudomonadati; Pseudomonadota; Gammaproteobacteria; Vibrionales; Vibrionaceae
Description: bacterial SSU rRNA
Rfam family: Bacterial small subunit ribosomal RNA
Source: RNAcentral
ACGAUAACGGCGUCGAGCGGCGGACGGGUGAGUAAUGCCUAGGAAAUUGCCCUGAUGUGGGGGAUAACCAUUGGAAACGAUGGCUAAUACCGCAUGAUGCCUACGGGCCAAAGAGGGGGACCUUCGGGCCUCUCGCGUCAGGAUAUGCCUAGGUGGGAUUAGCUAGUUGGUGAGGUAAGGGCUCACCAAGGCGACGAUCCCUAGCUGGUCUGAGAGGAUGAUCAGCCACACUGGAACUGAGACACGGUCCAGACUCCUACGGGAGGCAGCAGUGGGGAAUAUUGCACAAUGGGCGCAAGCCUGAUGCAGCCAUGCCGCGUGUGUGAAGAAGGCCUUCGGGUUGUAAAGCACUUUCAGUCGUGAGGAAGGUAGUGUAGUUAAUAGCUGCAUUAUUUGACGUUAGCGACAGAAGAAGCACCGGCUAACUCCGUGCCAGCAGCCGCGGUAAUACGGAGGGUGCGAGCGUUAAUCGGAAUUACUGGGCGUAAAGCGCAUGCAGGUGGUUUGUUAAGUCAGAUGUGAAAGCCCGGGGCUCAACCUCGGAAUUGCAUUUGAAACUGGCAGACUAGAGUACUGUAGAGGGGGGUAGAAUUUCAGGUGUAGCGGUGAAAUGCGUAGAGAUCUGAAGGAAUACCGGUGGCGAAGGCGGCCCCCUGGACAGAUACUGACACUCAGAUGCGAAAGCGUGGGGAGCAAACAGGAUUAGAUACCCUGGUAGUCCACGCCGUAAACGAUGUCUACUUGGAGGUUGUGGCCUUGAGCCGUGGCUUUCGGAGCUAACGCGUUAAGUAGACCGCCUGGGGAGUACGGUCGCAAGAUUAAAACUCAAAUGAAUUGACGGGGGCCCGCACAAGCGGUGGAGCAUGUGGUUUAAUUCGAUGCAACGCGAAGAACCUUACCUACUCUUGACAUCCAGAGAACUUUCCAGAGAUGGAUUGGUGCCUUCGGGAACUCUGAGACAGGUGCUGCAUGGCUGUCGUCAGCUCGUGUUGUGAAAUGUUGGGUUAAGUCCCGCAACGAGCGCAACCCUUAUCCUUGUUUGCCAGCGAGUAAUGUCGGGAACUCCAGGGAGACUGCCGGUGAUAAACCGGAGGAAGGUGGGGACGACGUCAAGUCAUCAUGGCCCUUACGAGUAGGGCUACACACGUGCUACAAUGGCGCAUACAGAGGGCAGCCAACUUGCGAAAGUGAGCGAAUCCCAAAAAGUGCGUCGUAGUCCGGAUUGGAGUCUGCAACUCGACUCCAUGAAGUCGGAAUCGCUAGUAAUCGUGGAUCAGAAUGCCACGGUGAAUACGUUCCCGGGCCUUGUACAC